This 253-nucleotide ribosomal RNA is filed under the name uncultured bacterium. RNAcentral's name for it is "partial 16S ribosomal RNA". It matches the Rfam family "Bacterial small subunit ribosomal RNA", at positions 524 to 776 of the family's 1533-position model. The record is from RNAcentral.
UACGGAGGGUGCAAGCGUUAAUCGGAAUUACUGGGCGUAAAGCGCACGCAGGUGGCUGAGUCAGUCGAUUGUGAAAGCCCUGGGCUUAACCUGGGAAUUGCAGUCGAUACUACUCAGCUAGAGUAUGGGAGAGGGCAGUGGAAUUUCCGGUGUAGCGGUGAAAUGCGUAGAUAUCGGGAGGAACAUCAGUGGCGAAGGCGGCUGCCUGGCCCAAUACUGACACUCAGGUGCGAAAGCGUGGGGAGCAAACAGG